CACGUAGGGCGCAAGCGUUGUCCGGAAUUAUUGGGCGUAAAGAGCUUGUAGGCGGUCUGUUGCGUCUGCUGUGAAAACCCGGGGCUUAACCCCUGGCUUGCAGUGGAUACGGGCAGACUAGAGUUCGGUAGGGGAGACUGGAAUUCCUGGUGUAGCGGUGAAAUGCGCAGAUAUCAGGAGGAACACCGGUGGCGAAGGCGGGUCUCUGGGCCGAAACUGACGCUGAGGAGCGAAAGCGUGGGGAGCAAACAGG
Molecule: ribosomal RNA, 253 nt
Filed under: uncultured bacterium
Lineage: Bacteria
Description: partial 16S ribosomal RNA
Rfam family: Bacterial small subunit ribosomal RNA
Source: RNAcentral